UGGGGAAUCUUGGACAAUGGGGGCAACCCUGAUCCAGCAACGCCGCGUGAAGGAUGAAGUAUUUCGGUAUGUAAACUUCGAAAGAAUAGGAAGAAUAAAUGACGGUACUAUUUAUAAGGUCCGGCUAACUACGUGCCAGCAGCCGCGGUAAUACGUAGGGACCAAGCGUUGUUCGGAUUUACUGGGCGUAAAGGGCGCGUAGGCGGCAAUUCAAGUCAUCUGUGAAAUCUCCGGGCUUAACUCGGAACGGUCAGAUGAUACUGCUUUGCUAGAGUGCAGAAGGGGCAAUCGGAAUUCUUGGUGUAGCGGUGAAAUGCGUAGAUAUCAAGAGGAACACCUGAGGUGAAGACGGGUUGCUGGGCUGACACUGACGCUGAGGCGCGAAAGCCAGGGGAGCAAACGGGAUUAGAUACCCCCGUAGUCCCUGAGCGGGCUGGCAAGGCGCAU
Molecule: ribosomal RNA, 447 nt
Filed under: uncultured bacterium
Lineage: Bacteria
Description: bacterial SSU rRNA
Rfam family: Bacterial small subunit ribosomal RNA
Source: RNAcentral